UACGGGGGGGAGCAAGCGUUGUUCGGAUUUACUGGGCGUAAAGGGCGCGCAGGCGGCUCAUUUUGUCAGGCGUGAAAGCCCCGGGCUUAACCUGGGAACUGCGUUUGAUACGGAUGGGCUAGAGUUCGGGAGAGGAGAGUGGAAUUCCCAGUGUAGAGGUGAAAUUCGUAGAUAUUGGGAAGAACACCGGUGGCGAAGGCGGGGUCUCUGGGCAGUAACUGACGCUGAGGAGCGAAAGCGUGGGGAGCGAACAGG
This 255-nucleotide ribosomal RNA is filed under the name uncultured bacterium. Its description in RNAcentral is "partial 16S ribosomal RNA". It matches the Rfam family "Bacterial small subunit ribosomal RNA", at positions 524 to 776 of the family's 1533-position model. The record is from RNAcentral.